This is a long non-coding RNA of Corythoichthys intestinalis (scribbled pipefish), 353 nucleotides long. RefSeq lists it as uncharacterized. The record is from RefSeq and is a predicted model, not a curated record. The transcript is spliced from 3 exons. NCBI's taxonomy places the organism in Eukaryota, Metazoa, Chordata, Actinopteri, Syngnathiformes, Syngnathidae.
UAACGUCGCCUUGGGUGCUGCUUUGGCCUUAAGCUUCAUUCUGUUAGUCUUUCUCCUAUACAACCUCAAGACAAAACAAUGUUUUUGCUGCAUGGCUGGUCCACAAACACGGGGCAAAACAUCCAAUUUUGUGCAGGAGAGAGAGGGGGAUUCUUUGGUUUAUUCGGCGCCCACUAUCGUCGCCAGGAAAAGCGGCAAAUUGAAACACACAGAGGAAGAAUUCAGCACAUACACUGACGUCAGACUUCGGGAUUCCUAACAUGAUGAAAUUUAUAUGAAUGCUUCUUUCAAUUAUUAUUAUAAGUAGUAGUAGUUUUAUUUUUUAUUUUAUUUUUUUAUUCUAUCCGUGAUUA